This 374-nucleotide ribosomal RNA is filed under the name uncultured eukaryote. RNAcentral describes it as "partial 18S ribosomal RNA". It matches the Rfam family "Eukaryotic small subunit ribosomal RNA", at positions 592 to 975 of the family's 1831-position model. The record is from RNAcentral.
CAAUAGCGUAUAUUUAAGUUGUUGCAGUUAAAAAGCUCGUAGUUGGAUUUCGGUUAAGAGCGACCGGUCCGCCGUUUGGUGUGCACUGGUUGGGUUUAACUUCCUGUAGAGGACGUGCUCUGGGUUUAACGACCUGGACUCGGAGUCUACGUGGUUACUUUGAAAAAAUUAGAGUGUUCAAAGCGGGCUUACGCUUGAAUAUUUCAGCAUGGAAUAACACUAUAGGACUCCUGUCCUAUUUCGUUGGUCUCGGGACGGGAGUAAUGAUUAAGAGGAACAGUUGGGGGCAUUCGUAUUUCAUUGUCAGAGGUGAAAUUCUUGGAUUUAUGAAAGACGAACUUCUGCGAAAGCAUUUGCCAAGGAUGUUUNCAUUA